GACGAACGCUGGCGGCGUGCCUAAUACAUGCAAGUUGAGCGCUGAAGGUUGGUACUUGUACCAACUGGAUGAGCAGCGAACGGGUGAGUAACGCGUGGGGAAUCUGCCUUUGAGCGGGGGACAACAUUUGGAAACGAAUGCUAAUACCGCAUAAAAACUUUAAACACAAGUUUUAAGUUUGAAAGAUGCAAUUGCAUCACUCAAAGAUGAUCUCGCGUUGUAUUAGCUAGUUGGUGAGGUAAAGGCUCACCAAGGCGAUGAUACAUAGCCGACCUGAGAGGGUGAUCGGCCACAUUGGGACUGAGACACGGCCCAAACUCCUACAGGAGGCAGCAGUAGGGAAUCUUCGGCAAUGGACGAAAGUCUGACCGAGCAACGCCGCGUGAGUGAAGAAGGUUUUCGGAUCGUAAAACUCUGUUGGUAGAGAAGAACGUUGGUGAGAGUGGAAAGCUCAUCAAGUGACGGUAACUACCCAGAAAGGGACGGCUAACUACGUG
This 497-nucleotide ribosomal RNA is filed under the name uncultured bacterium. RNAcentral describes it as "partial 16S ribosomal RNA". It matches the Rfam family "Bacterial small subunit ribosomal RNA", at positions 28 to 507 of the family's 1533-position model. The record is from RNAcentral.